GAUAAAUGUAGUUUUGCACUAUUCAUCUUCAACGUUUAACCGUUCGUUUUAUUUGAAAUGUUUUUAUAAUUAAUAUUUUUAUUAUCAUUAGAUGAUAAAAUAUGAAUAGUAUUUUAUGCGUAACUAAUUUUUUUUAAUUUUUUAUAAAUUUUUUAAAUAAGACAUACGGUUAAACAUUGGAAACGGAUAUCUACGACUCGCUUAUU
Non-coding RNA from Oryza barthii, 206 nucleotides. The record is from Rfam. Lineage: Eukaryota; Viridiplantae; Streptophyta; Magnoliopsida; Poales; Poaceae.